CCUACGGGAGGCAGCAGUGAGGAAUAUUGGUCAAUGGACGGAAGUCUGAACCAGCCAUGCCGCGUGCAGGAUGACGGCUCUAUGAGUUGUAAACUGCGUUUGUACGAGAAUAAGAGUUCUUACGUGUAGGGAUUUGAAUGUAUCGUACGAAUAAGGAUCGGCUAACUCCGUGCCAGCAGCCGCGGUAAGACGGAGGAUUCGAGCGUUAUCCGGAUUGAUUGGGUUUAAAGGGUGCGUAGGCUGGCGGAUAAGUUAGAGGUCAAAUGUCGGGGCUGAACCCCGUGCCUGCCUCUGAUACUGUUCGACUAGCGUGCGUCUGCAGCAGGCGGAAUG
This 333-nucleotide ribosomal RNA is filed under the name uncultured bacterium. RNAcentral describes it as "partial 16S ribosomal RNA". It matches the Rfam family "Bacterial small subunit ribosomal RNA", at positions 338 to 668 of the family's 1533-position model. The record is from RNAcentral.